AUACGGAGGGGGUUAGCGUUGUUCGGAAUAACUGGGCGUAAAGCGCACGUAGGCGGAAUGUUAAGUUAGAGGUGAAAUCCCAGGGCUCAACCCUGGAACGGCCUUUAAUACUGGCAAUCUAGAGACCGAGAGAGGUGAGUGGAAUUCCGAGUGUAGAGGUGAAAUUCGUAGAUAUUCGGAGGAACACCAGUGGCGAAGGCGGCUCACUGGCUCGAUACUGACGCUGAGGUGCGAAAGCGUGGGGAGCAAACAGGAUUAGAUACCCUAGUAGUCC
This 274-nucleotide ribosomal RNA is filed under the name uncultured bacterium. Its description in RNAcentral is "partial 16S ribosomal RNA". It matches the Rfam family "Bacterial small subunit ribosomal RNA", at positions 523 to 796 of the family's 1533-position model. The record is from RNAcentral.